Molecule: ribosomal RNA, 229 nt
Filed under: uncultured bacterium
Lineage: Bacteria
Description: partial 16S ribosomal RNA
Rfam family: Bacterial small subunit ribosomal RNA
Source: RNAcentral
UACGUAGGCGGCCUGUUAAGUCAGUGGUGAAAUGCACGAGCUCAACUUGUGACGUGCCAUUGAUACUGGCAGGCUUGAGUAUUGUAAAGGUAGGCGGAAUUGAUGGUGUAGCGGUGAAAUGCAUAGAUACCAUCAAGAACACCGAUUGCGAAGGCAGCUUACUAGGCAAUAACUGACGCUGAGGUACGAAAGCGUGGGGAGCGAACAGGAUUAGAUACCCUGGUAGUCC